Molecule: ribosomal RNA, 463 nt
Filed under: uncultured bacterium
Lineage: Bacteria
Description: partial 16S ribosomal RNA
Rfam family: Bacterial small subunit ribosomal RNA
Source: RNAcentral
GACGAACGCUGGCGGCGCGCUUAACAUAUGCAAGUCGCACGGUGAACCUCUUCGGAGGCGACUAGUGGCGUACGGGUGAGUAACCCGUGGACAACCUGCUCCCCGCCCUGGGAUAACUCCAUGACAUUGGGCCCAUUACCGGAUGUCCACCGCUUCCCUCCAGGCCCGUGCUGGAAAGGGUUUCCGGCUGCGGAUGGGCCCGCGGCCUAUCAGCCCCCUGGUGCGGUACUGGCCUACCAAGGCGACGACGGCUAGCCGGCCUGAGAGGGUGACCGGCCACACUGGGACUGAGACACGCCCCAGACUCCUACGGGAGGCAGCAGUGGGGAAUAUUGCGCAAUGGGCGGAAGCCUGACGCAGCGACGCCGCGUGGGGGAUGACGGCCUUCGGGUUGUAAACCUCUUUCAGCAGGGACGAAGCGCAAGUGACGGUACCUGCAGAAGAAGCACCGGCCAACUACGUG